GCGCGAAACCUCCGCAAUGUGAGAAAUCGCGACGGGGGGAUCCCAAGUGCCAUUCUUAACGGGAUGGCUUUUCAUUAGUGUAAAGAGCUUUUGGAAUAAGAGCUGGGCAAGACCGGUGC
RNAcentral lists this ribosomal RNA (119 nucleotides) under uncultured archaeon. RNAcentral describes it as "partial 16S ribosomal RNA". It matches the Rfam family "Archaeal small subunit ribosomal RNA", at positions 339 to 458 of the family's 1478-position model. The record is from RNAcentral.